GACGAACCGUGCGAACGUUAUUCGGAAUCACUGGGCUUAAAGCGCGUGUAGGCGGCCCGGCGCGUCUUUCGCUGAAAUCCCCCGGCUCAACCGGGGAAGGGCGGGGAUACGGCCGGGCUGGAGGGGGGUAGGGGGAUCGGGAACUUCCGGUGGAGCGGGUGAAAUGCGUUGAGAUCGGAAGGAACGCCCGCGGCGAAAGCGCGGUCCUGGACCCCACCUGACGCUGAGACGCGAAAGCCAGGGAGCGAACGGGAUUAGACGUACCCUAG
This 269-nucleotide ribosomal RNA is filed under the name uncultured bacterium. RNAcentral describes it as "partial 16S ribosomal RNA". It matches the Rfam family "Bacterial small subunit ribosomal RNA", at positions 524 to 790 of the family's 1533-position model. The record is from RNAcentral.